This is a long non-coding RNA of Thalassophryne amazonica, 135 nucleotides long. RefSeq lists it as uncharacterized. The record is from RefSeq and is a predicted model, not a curated record. The transcript has 3 exons. Lineage: Eukaryota; Metazoa; Chordata; Actinopteri; Batrachoidiformes; Batrachoididae.
ACACUGUAUCAGACAGUUGUGGUAAAGAAAAAGCUAAGCCAGAAGGCGAGACUCAAGUUACCCGUCAAUUUACACUCCUAUCCUCACACGUGGUGAUUAACUUUGGGUAAUGACCGAAAGAACAAGGCAGCUGAC